RNAcentral lists this transfer RNA (65 nucleotides) under Porhydrus obliquesignatus. RNAcentral's name for it is "tRNA-Trp". The record is from RNAcentral. Lineage: Eukaryota; Metazoa; Arthropoda; Insecta; Coleoptera; Dytiscidae.
AAGGAUUUAAGUUAAAAAAACUCACAACCUUCAAAGUUGUAAAUAAAGAAGAGCUUUAAGCCUUA